Long non-coding RNA from Ctenopharyngodon idella (grass carp), 1579 nucleotides. RefSeq lists it as uncharacterized. The record is from RefSeq and is a predicted model, not a curated record. The transcript is spliced from 5 exons. NCBI's taxonomy places the organism in Eukaryota, Metazoa, Chordata, Actinopteri, Cypriniformes, Xenocyprididae.
UUUUUGACUUCUAAAUUAAAUGAAGCAUGUUUAGGUUACCUGAUUUUAAAUUUGUACUUGGUCUUUACAUUCCUUUAACUACUAUGUAAUAACAUUUAAAUACAUUUGAUACAAUGUACUUAUUGUAAACUGUACAUACAUGUUUUUACAUUGUACUUAUAUAUAACAUAAAUACCUGCAUGUAAUUACAGCUGUAAUUUCUGUAAACCGUUGACCCAUCCCUUCCACCUUAACCCACUUUUAAUCCUAACCACUCUUCUUCCUGCUAAACCAGUAUAUCACAUGAGAAGGAAGUUUUUUUUUCUUUCUGUUUGUAUUCUUCUAGCUUGUUGCUUACCUGCUCUACUCAGAAGAGUGAUGGGAAUUGUGCUAUAAAUGUCAGAAAUCAUCAAAGGAGCUGGAUCACAGAGAUGGAGAAUGUGGACAUGAUGGCAGACAACACUAAAAUUAAUAUAUCAAAAAAGCCCAGACAGAGCAUUGACUAUUCUAUUAACUUCAAUGAGGAGAACCCAUUAGUGCAAAGAGGAGCCAGUUUCUCAGAUGACUCUACAAGAGAUGAAUGUGUUUCCACAGAGAAAAUAAAUGAAAACCAAACACAGGAGAAAUGCAGUGCAGGACGGCAUGAGGGAAAAUCUGUACUUGAAAAGAAGAACUCUAUCAGCUCUAUCCGCUCUAUGUGUUCAUUUGAUUCAGGAUAUGGUUCAAUAAAACACAGAGUUUCCCCCAUCUCUGAAAAUGAUGAAGAGAACAAAUAAACUGAUGUCAACUUCAAAUAAGACCAGCAGCACAGACAAAAUCCACCCCUAAAAUUUGAUGGCCACUCCAGGAGCCAGCAUCAAUAUCUAAUCUAUGACUUGAAUUGUUUUGUGAUUCAUUUGGAAUCAUUCGGACAGAUCACUCACACACUGAAUCCUGCAGAACAGUUUCUCAGUCAGUAAACAACAAGGUACUUUACAGUGAUCAGAUUUCUGAAAUGAAAAGGGACUUUUUUAUUCAGUCAAUAUAAUGUUUGUUAAUGUUAUUAAAGUUGUAAAGGGUUGUCGGUAUAAUGCAUAUGAAGAGCACAUAAACUGUAUGUCCUGAAAAUUAUUUAUGUUAUGUGAUAUUCAUACAGAAGGUCUAACUUAUUCAUGAAAAGGAAUAUGUUGCUAUGACUAAAGUUGAGGCUUAUCAAGGCUUAUUUCUCUUUAAGUUUAGCUCAGUUGUUCUCUAAAGCAGUUAGCUUAGCUAUACUGUUGGAGGGGAACCAUAGACACAUAGACAUUUUGUCACCGGGAUCUGUGAAUUUGUGACACCCUUAGCAUUGUCAAGAAAUUAUGGGGGGGAAGUGCAGGCAACUGAAAUGAAACAUUGCUAGACUGUGCAAUGUAGAUCACACUGCAUGUCACAGACAAACACCCUACUGUUGUAAAAAAAAUAAAUAAAUAAAUAAAAGGACCUUUUUUAAUGCUGUGUUAUAUGAGGCAAAAGAGUGAAUUCAUUUAAAAGUACCUGUUGUAACUUGUCAGUUUUGAUGUAAAUAGGCCUAGGCUAUAUACUGUGCGUUUUUGUCCACUGAAUAAAACUGUUCAAGCAAUUG